RNAcentral lists this ribosomal RNA (533 nucleotides) under uncultured bacterium. RNAcentral describes it as "partial 16S ribosomal RNA". It matches the Rfam family "Bacterial small subunit ribosomal RNA", at positions 355 to 879 of the family's 1533-position model. The record is from RNAcentral.
UGGGGAAUUUUGGACAAUGGGCGAAAGCCUGAUCCAGCAAUGCCGCGUGUGUGAAGAAGGCCUUCGGGUUGUAAAGCACUUUUGUCCGGAAAGAAAUCCUUGGACUCUAAUACAGUCGGGGGAUGACGGUACCGGAAGAAUAAGCACCGGCUAACUACGUGCCAGCAGCCGCGGUAAUACGUAGGGUGCAAGCGUUAAUCGGAAUUACUGGGCGUAAAGCGUGCGCAGGCGGUUUGCUAAGACCGAUGUGAAAUCCCCGGGCUCAACCUGGGAACUGCAUUGGUGACUGGCAGGCUAGAGUAUGGCAGAGGGGGGUAGAAUUCCACGUGUAGCGGUGAAAUGCGUAGAGAUGUGGAGGAAUACCGAUGGCGAAGGCAGCCCCCUGGGCCAAUACUGACGCUCAUGCACGAAAGCGUGGGGAGCAAAGCAGGAUUAGAUACCCUGGUAGUCCACGCCCUAAACGAUGUCAACUAGUUGUUGGGGAUUCAUUUCCUUAGUAACGUAGCUAACGCGUGAAGUUGACCGCCUGGGGA